GAUCCUGGCUCAGGAUGAACGCUAGCGGCAGGCUUAACACAUGCAAGUCGAGGGGCAGCAUAAUGGUAGCAAUACUAUUGAUGGCGACCGGCGGACGGGUGCGUAACGCGUAUGCAACCUACCCUUUACAGGGGGGAUAACACUGAGAAAUCGGUACUAAUACCCCAUAAUAUUCUGGGAGGCAUCUUUCGGGGUUGAAAGCUUUGGUGGUAAAGGAUGGGCAUGCGUUGUAUUAGCUAGUUGGUAAAGG
Molecule: ribosomal RNA, 250 nt
Filed under: uncultured bacterium
Lineage: Bacteria
Description: partial 16S ribosomal RNA
Rfam family: Bacterial small subunit ribosomal RNA
Source: RNAcentral